UGUUGUCAAAAUGUGUCU
This 18-nucleotide non-coding RNA is filed under the name Arabidopsis thaliana (thale cress). Lineage: Eukaryota; Viridiplantae; Streptophyta; Magnoliopsida; Brassicales; Brassicaceae. The record is from RNAcentral.